GGUGAUCUAGCCAUGGGCAGGUUGAAGGUUGGGUAACACUAACUGGAGGACCGAACCGACUAAUGUUGAAAAAUUAGCGGAUGACUUGUGGCUGGGGGUGAAAGGCCAAUCAAACCGGGAGAUAGCUGGUUCUCCCCGAAAGCUAUUUAGGUAGCGCCUCGUGAAUUCAUCUCCGGGGGUAGAGCACUGUUUCGGCAAGGGGGUCAUCCCGACUUACCAACCCGAUGCAAACUGCGAAUACCGGAGAAUGUUAUCACGGGAGACACACGGCGGGUGCUAACGUCCGUCGUGAAGAGGGAAACAACCCAGACCGCCAGCUAAGGUCCCAAAGUCAUGGUUAAGUGGGAAACGAUGUGGGAAGGCCCAGACAGCCAGGAUGUUGGCUUAGAAGCAGCCAUCAUUUAAAGAAAGCGUAAUAGCUCACUGGUCGAGUCGGCCUGCGCGGAAGAUGUAACGGGGCUAAACCAUGCACCGAAGCUGCGGCAGCGACGCUUAUGCGUUGUUGGGUAGGGGAGCGUUCUGUAAGCCUGCGAAGGUGUGCUGUGAGGCAUGCUGGAGGUAUCAGAAGUGCGAAUGCUGACAUAAGUAACGAUAAAGCGGGUGAAAAGCCCGCUCGCCGGAAGACCAAGGGUUCCUGUCCAACGUUAAUCGGGGCAGGGUGAGUCGACCCCUAAGGCGAGGCCGAAAGGCGUAGUCGAUGGGAAACAGGUUAAUAUUCCUGUACUUGGUGUUACUGCGAAGGGGGGACGGAGAAGGCUAUGUUGGCCGGGCGACGGUUGUCCCGGUUUAAGCGUGUAGGCUGGUUUUCCAGGCAAAUCCGGAAAACUAAGGCUGAGGCGUGAUGACGAGGCACUACGGUGCUGAAGCAACAAAUGCCCUGCUUCCAGGAAAAGCCUCUAAGCAUCAGGUAACAUCAAAUCGUACCCCAAACCGACACAGGUGGUCAGGUAGAGAAUACCAAGGCGCUUGAGAGAACUCGGGUGAAGGAACUAGGCAAAAUGGUGCCGUAACUUCGGGAGAAGGCACGCUGAUAUGUAGGUGAAGUGCCUCGCUCGUGGAGCUGAAAUCAGUCGAAGAUACCAGCUGGCUGCAACUGUUUAUUAAAAACACAGCACUGUGCAAACACGAAAGUGGACGUAUACGGUGUGACGCCUGCCCGGUGCCGGAAGGUUAAUUGAUGGGGUUAGCGCAAGCGAAGCUCUUGAUCGAAGCCCCGGUAAACGGCGGCCGUAACUAUAACGGUCCUAAGGUAGCGAAAUUCCUUGUCGGGUAAGUUCCGACCUGCACGAAUGGCGUAAUGAUGGCCAGGCUGUCUCCACCCGAGACUCAGUGAAAUUGAACUCGCUGUGAAGAUGCAGUGUACCCGCGGCAAGACGGAAAGACCCCGUGAACCUUUACUAUAGCUUGACAC
Molecule: ribosomal RNA, 1411 nt
Filed under: Escherichia coli 2-427-07_S1_C2
Lineage: Bacteria; Pseudomonadati; Pseudomonadota; Gammaproteobacteria; Enterobacterales; Enterobacteriaceae
Description: bacterial LSU rRNA
Rfam family: Bacterial large subunit ribosomal RNA
Source: RNAcentral